Molecule: non-coding RNA, 99 nt
Organism: Crucibulum laeve
Lineage: Eukaryota; Fungi; Basidiomycota; Agaricomycetes; Agaricales; Nidulariaceae
Source: the annotation of a GenBank genome assembly
UGUCCCAUGGCUUAGUUGGUUACGGCGUCAGACUGUUAUUAACGGCCGAGACGCGGACAUGACAUCGGAAGAUCGAGAGUUCAAGUCUCUCUGGGACAG